Molecule: RNA transcript, 5681 nt
Organism: Mus musculus (house mouse)
Lineage: Eukaryota; Metazoa; Chordata; Mammalia; Rodentia; Muridae
Gene: Mbd4
Gene name: methyl-CpG binding domain protein 4
Exons: 7
Source: RefSeq, marked validated
GGCUGUGGCAUCUGUAGCUGAAGCGGUGGCGGGAAGGCUGCUGUGUGGGUUGAUUGACUUUCACGUCGGUGUUUGGAUUCGGCUCAGUGGUUUGAGUUGUGUUUUACUCCACCUCUCGGCCUGGAGCUGCAGCUGCGCCCCAGUGGACCAAAGCAGCAGGGAUGGAGAGCCCAAACCUUGGGGACAACAGAGUCCGUGGAGAGAGCCUAGUUCCAGACCCGCCUUGGGAUCGCUGCAAGGAAGAUAUUGCUGUUGGACUGGGAGGAGUGGGAGAAGAUGGAAAGGACCUGGUGAUAAGCAGUGAGCGCAGCUCCCUUCUCCAAGAGCCCACUGCUUCUACUCUGUCUAGUACUACAGCGACAGAAGGCCACAAGCCUGUCCCGUGUGGAUGGGAAAGAGUUGUGAAGCAAAGGUUAUCUGGGAAAACUGCAGGAAAAUUUGAUGUAUACUUUAUCAGCCCACAAGGAUUGAAGUUCAGAUCAAAACGUUCACUUGCUAAUUAUCUUCUCAAAAAUGGGGAGACUUUUCUUAAGCCUGAAGAUUUUGAUUUUACUGUACUGCCGAAAGGGAGCAUCAAUCCCGGUUAUAAACACCAAAGUUUGGCAGCUCUGACUUCCCUGCAGCCAAAUGAAACUGACGUUUCAAAGCAGAACCUCAAGACACGAAGCAAGUGGAAAACAGAUGUGUUGCCUCUGCCCAGUGGUACUUCAGAGUCGCCAGAAAGCAGCGGACUGUCUAACUCUAACUCGGCUUGCUUGCUAUUGAGAGAACAUAGGGACAUUCAGGAUGUUGACUCUGAGAAGAGGAGAAAGUCCAAAAGAAAGGUGACUGUUUUGAAAGGAACUGCAAGUCAGAAAACCAAACAAAAGUGCAGGAAGAGUCUCUUAGAGUCUACUCAAAGAAACAGAAAAAGAGCAUCUGUGGUUCAGAAGGUGGGUGCUGAUCGCGAGCUGGUGCCACAGGAAAGUCAACUCAACAGAACCCUCUGCCCUGCAGAUGCCUGUGCAAGGGAGACUGUUGGCCUGGCUGGGGAAGAAAAAUCACCAAGCCCAGGACUGGAUCUUUGUUUCAUACAAGUAACUUCUGGCACCACAAACAAAUUCCAUUCAACUGAAGCAGCAGGUGAAGCAAAUCGUGAGCAGACUUUUUUAGAAUCAGAGGAAAUCAGAUCGAAGGGAGACAGAAAGGGGGAGGCACAUUUGCAUACUGGUGUUUUACAGGAUGGCUCUGAAAUGCCCAGCUGCUCACAAGCCAAGAAACACUUUACUUCUGAGACAUUUCAAGGUACUCAGUGCAUGAAAAUUCUGUUAGCUGUGUGGUGAACUGUCUACCCUCGCGGAUCUUGUAUUUCGUGCCGGGAUGGGGUUGAGAUAGAGAGUAUAGUGAAGAAGAGUCAAGCGUCAGAUAUAUUCUCCCAGUUGAUCCCAAUAUCUGCCCUAAGUGAUUUUUGAGAACAGGGUUUCAUGUAUCCCAGCCAGCCUGGGUCUCACUGUAUAGCUGGAGAGACUUUCGAAAUUGUAUCCUUCUGACUCUGCUUCCUGGGUGCUGAAAUUAAAGGCAUGUGCCACUAUGCAAGUUUAUGUGGUGCUGGGCACAGAACCCAGGGCUUAAUGCGUGGCAGCUAAGCACUCUAUCAACUGAGUUACAUCUCCAUCCUGUAACUGAUCUUUGAGCUUGGUCAUCAGGCCCUUAAUUAUGGCAGAGAGGUAAUCAGCUGGCUACAGCCAGGAUGCUCAGCAUUGGAAGACUGGUGUGUGAUGGCUGCUACCACCUCUCCCUGGACAGCAGCUAAGAGAAGACAGCAUCCCACGGACACAAGUAGAAAAAAGGAAAACAAGCCUGUAUUUUUCCAGCAAGUACAACAAAGAAGCUCUUAGCCCCCCAAGACGCAAAUCCUUCAAGAAAUGGACCCCUCCUCGGUCACCUUUUAAUCUUGUUCAAGAAAUACUUUUCCAUGACCCAUGGAAGCUCCUCAUCGCGACUAUAUUUCUCAAUCGGACCUCAGGCAAGAUGGCCAUCCCUGUGCUGUGGGAGUUUCUAGAGAAGUACCCUUCAGCUGAAGUGGCCCGAGCUGCCGACUGGAGGGACGUGUCGGAGCUUCUCAAGCCUCUUGGUCUCUACGAUCUCCGUGCAAAAACCAUUAUCAAGUUCUCAGGUAUAAGGAAGGUGACUUUCUCAAGGCUGACCAUGUGUUGGAUGUGUAUCCCUCAGAUGAAUAUCUGACAAAGCAGUGGAGGUAUCCGAUUGAGCUUCAUGGCAUUGGUAAAUAUGGCAACGACUCCUACCGGAUCUUUUGUGUCAAUGAAUGGAAGCAGGUAAGCCCACCACUGGCCAUAUCCAACAUAAGCCAACAUAUUCAGCAUAUAAGUCCACCAGUGUGCCUGGAUCUAUGAGAAAGAAGUCCUGUUGUAGUCCCAACCAGAUUUGCCCUCUGUUCAAAGAGCAGCAGGGGCGUGAGGCUAUGAGUUGUAGUUAUGGACUCUUGAGGUACUGCCCCAGGCCCUGCACUGUGGCCUACUACUGACUUGAGCUUCUGACCCUCCUACCUGUCUGUGUUCUGUUUAAUACUGACAGGGUUCCUUCCUGUUAAAAAAGGAGCCCCUAGUGCUGAGAGGAGAUGGCUUAGUUUGUAAAGUGCUUGCCAUGAGGACUUGAGUUCAGAUCCCUGGAACUCAUGGAAGAGCCAGACAUGGCAUCGUUCACCUUCUAUCUGAUAGAUAGAAGCACUGUGGGGGCAGGAACAGCAGGACGCCUGGAAGUUUCUGGAUAGCCUCUCUGAGCUUGUAUACCAGAUAUCCUACCCUAUGUGGGUAAAGCUCCAGGCCAGUGAGAAACGCUUUUUCUUUUUUUUUUUAAAGAUUUAUUUAUUAUUGUAUAUGAGUACACUGUAGCUGUCUUCAGACGCACCAGAAGAGGGCAUCAGAUCUCAUUACAGAUGGUUGUGAGCCACCACGUGGUUGCUGGGAUUUGACCUAAGGACCUUCGGAAGAGCAGUCAGUGCUUUUAACUACUGAGCCAUCUCUCCAGCCCGAGAAAUGCUUUUUCAAACAAAAAGUGAAUUGUGAGCCAGAGAGAUAGCUCAGGGUGUAAAGGGGCUUGCUGCGCAAGCCUGGUGACAAAAGUUCCAUUCCUGGAACCCACAAAAAGGUAGAAGAAAAGAACUGACUCAAAAAAUUGUACUUCAUAGACAUGCCUCAGUAUAUACACAUACACAACUAAUAAAAUUUAAUUGUUUUCUGAAAGUAGAAGGUACCUGAACCUUCUGGCUAAUACAAGUACCUGUACAUACACACACAUCCACAAAACAGGAUCCCUCGUAAAAGAGGAAAUAUUUGACUUAGAGUGUCUAGUUGUCAGAUUUCUCCUCAUAUCUCAGACUGGAAUGUGGCAUCUGGGUCCUAUUAAAACUACCCAUUCCUUUGUUCCUGUCCCAACACUGGUACAUUUUGAUGGCAGUGUGACAGCUGGAGGGUAGCUUGGCACACUGCCUCCUCACAGUAUGGCCCUGCGUUAAGUCAGUGAUGUCUAGAGAAACCCAGACUGAAGGGCCACAGUUCUACCCCUUCACCACCAGAGCCAUUGGUUAGCUUCACAGGGUCUCUAAUCAUCGCUGCCUUCUGCUCCAGGUCUGGGUUAGUUCUGAACUGGAGAGCACUUUGUAAUCCAUGUAGGAUAUCUGUUGUAUAAGGUAUAACUAUAUACAGUCUUGGAUGCUGUGGGGUUCCAUGUCCCGUUUAUCUCAGGUAUAUUAUCAUGAUGAACCCCCUCACUAAACCUUUAAACAUGUCUAUGGCUGAAUGUUGCAUUUCUUCCAGGUGCACCCUGAAGACCACAAGUUAAAUAAAUACCAUGACUGGCUUUGGGAGAAUCAUGAAAAAUUAAGUCUAUCUUGAAGCUGCCUGUUUGAAGUUUCCCAUGCGUCGCCUUGUGCUUCGGUUUCUAAGGGCCCUGUGGUGUGCAGUGAGCUCCCUUCCCGGCACGUGGAUUUUUUUUUUCAGUUUGUUAGAAGCCAGUGUAUGUCUUAAGCCUCUGCCAAAAAAAAAAAAAAAUUGUUAGAUAAUGAUCCUAAAAGUGUUCAGUUUAGGUUUUCCAAUGAUGAAAUUCAACACGCCAAUGCUCAAAUCCAGUUACCAGCACUCCUGCUAAAGAAAGCCUAAACAUGUAUUCUCCUUCUGUAUAAAGUGAUAUUGUCAUGUGUGGAAAGCCUGCCAUUCUUAAUGGGUAUUCCAGUGUUAUAGCUUAAAUAGUGAGGCAUUUACUUUAGAAAGAUAUCACUAACUAAAAACCGAAUUGACCUUACAUGGUGGCACACCCCUGUAAUCCCAGCACUCAGGAGGCUGAGGAAGAAGGAUGGAAAGUUGAGGGCCUGCCUCUUCUGUGUAGAGAGAGACUCUGCCUCAAGCACAAACAGGGCAGGGCCAGCAAGUGGCCCAGUAAAUGAAGUCACUUGCUGCCAGGCAUGAUGAUCUGAAUUCCAUCCCUGGAACACACUCCUGAAGGUUGGCCUCUUACCUUCACUUGAGCUCAUACAUAACAUGUUACAAAAUACAUAAAAUUUUCAGAAAUGGUCUGCAGAGAGAUGGUUCAGUAGUUUAAUAUGCUUGCUGCUUUUAUAGAGGUUACUUUUUAGCACCCACAUCAGGCAGCUCACAACUGCUUAUAACAGCUCCUGGGGAUCUGUCACCUUCUUUUGGCUUCAUUGGGUACCUUAGCACAUGUGGCAUAUAUAGAUAUAAAGAUAUACAUAAACAUAAAAAAAAAAUUAAGUCCUAAUUACUUAACACUUUUUUUUCUUUUUGGUUUUCCGAGACAGGGUUUCUCUGUGUAGCCCUGGCUGUCCUGGAACUCACUCUGUAGACCAGGCUGGCCUCAAACUCAGAAAUCUGCCUGCCUCUGCCUCCCAAGUGCUGGGAUUAAAGGCAUGCGCCACCACUGCCUGGCUACUUAACACUAUUUUAAAAUGUAGUUUGAAAAUUAAAUUAUAUCUCCUCCUCAAGGCAAUAUUACUCAAAAAUGCAUAGUAUUCCACCCCAUUUUUCAUUAAUAAAAUAUAUUUUUCAUUAAUAAAAUAUAUUCACCCAUGCCAGUCAUCAUGGUAUACUACUAUAAUCCUAACACUUGGGAGUCUGGAGAGAAUCAUGAUCAAGGCCAGCCUGGGCUAUAUGGUAAGACCCUAUAUCAAAAAAGAGCAAAAAAACAAACCAAAAGAUCCACUAGUGGCACACACACAGACAAUGAGCAGAUGGGCCUUAUAAUGUAUAUGUGAUGAAAAUACAUACACAGUACCUGGGAUGCUGAUGCAAGAGGACCUCUGAAUUCAAGGCAGCCUGGCUUAUGAGAGUGUGAAGGCAGCUUUGGUUACACAGCAAAACCCUGUACAAAAAAUACAAACCAAGUUUGUUGGACUAAAUAAGCUAUGUCUGCAGAAGUGUCUGUCUGUCUUGUUUAAUGGAAUUCUUUUUUUUAAAGAUUUAUUUGUUUUAUGUAUAUGAGUACACUGUAACUGUACAGAUGGUUAUGAGCCAUAAUGUGAUUGUUGGGAAUUGAACUCAGGACCUCUGCUUGCUUCUGGCCCUGCUCUGGCCCCGCUCGAGUAUAUGGAAUUCUUAAGAUCCUAAUAUACUUAUGAAACCUAUCACUUUGUAUUAGGUAGUUAAUAAAAUAUUUUUAUUAAAAAGUAA